This 978-nucleotide long non-coding RNA is filed under the name Anser cygnoides (Swan goose). Its description in RNAcentral is "lncRNA (ENSACDG00005000782.1)". Lineage: Eukaryota; Metazoa; Chordata; Aves; Anseriformes; Anatidae. The record is from RNAcentral.
AUGCUGAGCUUGGAGGAGAGGUCUCUGGCAGUAGGGGUUGCUGCAAGAGACAGCAGAGUUGAUGAGAACUUGGGCAAGUUCAGAGAACUUGGAGUUCCCUUGAAGCUCAUCCAACAGCCAGCUGCCCUGACUUGGCUGUGUGAAGAGCGCAGCAGCUCCUGCGCUGCACCUGAGAACAAGAGCAUUGUGCAUCCAUAUCGUGUAAGCAGGAUGAGAAUGAAAUACAAAACAUGGUGUGUUCCUCAUUAUCUUGCUUGCAUGUGACCAUUUGGAACCGUGAAUGGCAGUGAACAGUUCCUCAGUGAGAGGGGCACCACUGGCUCCCCCACCACAAAUCCCACUCUGUUAACAGAGGUCUUUUAACUUGCAUGUAAUGUCUUGCAUGAGCUUCGUGUUUUGUCAUGCAGGUCUCCCUCCUCUGUUGUUAUGAGGAAGGAAUAUUCCUUGUUCCCUUGUCAGGCACUGCAGUGCUCUCAAGCUUUUUUUUGUGUGUGUGUGUGUGCUGGUUGGUUUUGGUCGAUUUGUUUAUUUUCUGUUUGUUCCUAGUGACAGCACUAUCUAAACGUUUUCCAGGGUGUUUAGUUACUUCGUGAAAAUGUUAUGAAUCAUGCUAGUAAGUUGUGCUGCCUUGCCCAGCUUUCCUGUUGGGAAGUGGCUGGAAGUGUAAUGGAAAUGUAGGCAGCCCAAGGGAAGCAGGCAGCAUCUGUCCCAGCGGAGAGCAGAGCCCCUGCUUCCUUCCUCUGCUUUGGCCAAAGCCUGGUGGGGCCAGGCUGCCAAAUGGCCGGCAGCAGUAAUGAUAAGGGAGUGUAAGCAGAGUUUUAUUAUAAUGUCUUUUACUUUGUAAUUUUAACUGCAACAACUACCAAAAUGAUCGAUAGUUCAGUUCUUUAGUGUUAAUGCUUUUUUUAUAAACCACUGGAAGACUCCAAGCAAAUGACAAAAAAUAAAGCUUUUAUGAAUGUUUAAGCUACUUUUCCA